AUCUUUGCGCUUGGGGCAAUGACGCAGCUUGUGAGGUUUUAACCGAGGCGCGUCAAUUGCUGGUUGAAAACUAUUUCCAAACCCCCUCUUUGGUCUUUAUGCCACCGAGAAUUUCUGCAAGGGCUCCCUGCAACCCAGGGUAAAACC
Small nuclear RNA from Phoenix dactylifera (date palm), 147 nucleotides. RefSeq annotates it as U4 spliceosomal RNA. Lineage: Eukaryota; Viridiplantae; Streptophyta; Magnoliopsida; Arecales; Arecaceae. The record is from RefSeq and is a predicted model, not a curated record.